Molecule: ribosomal RNA, 555 nt
Filed under: uncultured marine eubacterium OTU_C
Lineage: Bacteria; Pseudomonadati; Bacteroidota
Description: bacterial SSU rRNA
Rfam family: Bacterial small subunit ribosomal RNA
Source: RNAcentral
UACGGNAGGCAGCAGUGAGGAAUAUUGGACAAUGGGCGAGAGCCUGAUCCAGCCAUGCCGCGUGCAGGAAGACUGCCCUAUGGGUUGUAAACUGCUUUUAUACAGGAAGAAUAAGCCUUACGUGUAAGGUGAUGACGGUACUGUAAGAAUAAGGACCGGCUAACUCCGUGCCAGCAGCCGCGGUAAUACGGAGGGUCCGAGCGUUAUCCGGAAUUAUUGGGUUUAAAGGGUCCGUAGGCGGAUGAUUAAGUCAGGGGUGAAAGUUUGCAGCUCAACUGUAAAAUUGCCUUUGAUACUGGUCAUCUUGAGUUGUAUUGAAGUAGGCGGAAUAUGUAGUGUAGCGGUGAAAUGCAUAGAUAUUACAUAGAACACCAAUUGCGAAGGCAGCUUACUAAGUACUAACUGACGCUGAUGGACGAAAGCGUGGGUAGCGAACAGGAUUAGAUACCCUGGUAGUCCACGCCGUAAACGAUGGAUACUAGCUGUUCGGGACCUUGAGUUCUGAGCGGCUAAGCGAAAGUGAUAAGUAUCCCACCUGGGGAGUACGNUCGCAAG